This 2310-nucleotide ribosomal RNA is filed under the name Triticum aestivum (bread wheat). Its description in RNAcentral is "partial small subunit ribosomal RNA". Lineage: Eukaryota; Viridiplantae; Streptophyta; Magnoliopsida; Poales; Poaceae. The record is from RNAcentral.
AUGCUCGACCGCCACCUCGCCCCGCAGCUGCCCUACGUCAAGUCGCUCUUCCUCGGCUGGUUCGAGCCGCUGCGCGACGCCGUCGCCAGGGACCAGGACGUGCAGCGCCGCAAGCGGGUCAAGCACGUCUACGCCAAGUACCUGCUCCUGCUCCCCGCCGAGAAGGUCGCCGUCAUCGUCAUGCACAAGAUGAUGGGCCUCCUCAUGUCCAGCAAGGACGGCUGCGGCAGCGUCCGCGUCGUCCAGGCCGCGCACUCCAUCGGCGAGGCCGUCGAGCGCGAGUACAAAGUCCAGGCUUUCUUUCAGAAGACUAGGAGAAAAACUAGGAGCAAAACUGAAAGUGAAAAUGAUCCAGCAUUAGACAAGGAACAGGCAAAAUGCCGGAAACUUGUUAAGAGUUUGGUGAGGAGGAGGAAAUUGACUGAAGCACAGAAGCUUGUGCAACAGGAGAUUGAAUUGGAGGAGUGGGGCACAGAAGCCCAAGUGAAGGUUUGUUUUCCAGAUAGCAUACCUACAAUUACAGAGUUUUGUCUCAUAUGUUAUGGAAGGAGACUAAAGAAGAAGCACUUCGUGAUAGAGUGUGAUCCUCUUGUGCAUGAGGGGUUUGAAAGCACUGCUAGACACGUGGAGAUACCCUAUCUUCCUAUGCUAGUACCUCCUACAAAAUGGAAGGGCUAUGAUAAAGGCGGACACCUUUUUCUGCCUUCGUAUGUUAUGCGGACACAUGGUGUGAAGGACCAGAAGGAAGCCAUUAAGAGUGUUCCAAGAAAACAGCUGCGAAAAGUAUUCGAGGCAUUAGAUAUCCUUGGGGGUACUAAAUGGAGAGUGAAUAGACGAGUACAUGACGUUGUUGAGACUAUUUGGAGUCGUGGUGGGGGUAUUGCAGGACUUGUUGAUAAGGGAAAUAUUCCUCUACCUGAACAACCUGAAACAGAAGACCCAGAUGAAAUCCAGAAAUGGAAGUGGAGCGUAAAGAAGACAAAGAAAGCUAACCGUGAACUGCAUGCUGAGCGAUGCGAUACAGAACUAAAACUCUCUGUUGCUCGUAAAAUGAGAGAGGAGGAUGGCUUCUAUUAUCCUCAUAAUCUAGAUUUCCGUGGUCGUGCAUACCCUAUGCAUCCACAUCUGAGUCACCUAGGUUCAGAUCUAUGCCGAGGUGUUCUAGAGUAUGCUGAAGGGCGGCCACUCGGAAAAUCUGGUUUACGCUGGUUGAAGAUACAUUUGGCUAACAAAUAUGGCGGAGGCAUUGAAAAGCUUUCUCAUGAGAGCAAACUAGCGUUUGUGGAGGAUCAUUUGCCUGAUAUAUUUGAUUCAGCAUCAAAUCCUGUUGAUGGGAACUGUUGGUGGAUUAAUGCCGAGGAUCCAUUUCAAUGUCUAGCUGCAUGCAUGGAUCUUUCUAAGGCAUUAGAAAGUUCAUCACCUCAUGGUGCUGUCUCUCACCUACCUAUUCAUCAGGAUGGUUCAUGCAAUGGGUUACAACACUAUGCCGCUCUUGGAAGAGACUAUAUGGGCGCGGCAGCUGUCAACUUGGUUCCUGGAGAGAAACCUGCAGAUAUCUACUCAGAAAUAGCUGCUAGGGUAUUGGAUGUUGUACGGGAAGACUCAAUGAAAGAUCCUGCUACUGACCCAAGUGUUCCAUUAGCAAAGGUUUUAGUUGAUGAGGUGGAUAGGAAGCUGGUCAAGCAGACAGUGAUGACGUCAGUUUAUGGUGUCACAUUUAUCGGUGCUCGCCAGCAAAUUAUGAAGAGGCUUCAAGAGAAAGGACACAUUACAGAUGACAAAUUGCUCUAUGAUGUGUCCUGCUAUGCUACCAGGAGACAAGGACAUGCUGUAACUGUUGUUUCUCUGAUGAAGGUAACUUUGGAUGCACUAGGACAAAUGUUCCAAUCUGCCCGUGCUAUAAUGGCAUGGCUUGGUGACUGUGCAAAGAUGAUUGCUUCAAAAAAUCAACCAGUCAGAUGGACGAGUCCUGUAGGUCUUCCAGUUGUGCAGCCAUACAAGAAAUAUAAAAACUAUAUGAUACGAACUUCUUUGCAAUGUCUGGCUUUACGACGGGAGGGUGAUGCAAUUGCAACCCAACGGCAAAAGGCAGCUUUUCCACCGAAUUUUGUCCAUUCUCUUGAUAGUUCACAUAUGAUGAUGACGGCAAUUACUUGCAAGGAGGCUGGUCUUCAUUUUGCAGGGGUGCAUGACUCAUUUUGGGUGCAUGCAUGUGAUGUCGAUAAAAUGAAUCAGAUCUUGAGAGAGCAAUUCGUGGAGCUGUACAGCAUGCCAAUCCUUGAAAACCUGCAUCAGCAGAUUAUUCUCUAA